RNAcentral lists this ribosomal RNA (252 nucleotides) under uncultured bacterium. RNAcentral's name for it is "partial 16S ribosomal RNA". It matches the Rfam family "Bacterial small subunit ribosomal RNA", at positions 524 to 776 of the family's 1533-position model. The record is from RNAcentral.
UACAGAGGGUGCGAGCGUUAAUCGGAAUUACUGGGCGUAAAGCGUGCGUAGACGGUAGCGUAAGUCAGAUGUGAAAGCCCCGGGCUCAACCUGGGAAUUGCAUUUGAGACUGCUCUGCUCGGGUGCGGAAGAGGGAAGCGGAAUUUCCGGUGUAGCGGUGAAAUGCGCAGAUAUCAGGAGGAACACCAAUGGCGAAGGCAGCUCGCUGGGACGGUACUGACGCUGAGACGCGAAGCGUGGGGAGCAAACAGG